AGAUCUCAGGGAAGAGUUCCCAGUGCUCUGAAUUCUGCUUAAACCUUGGCAUUCAAGGCAGAGAUCGCCAGGCAAGCAUCAGGCCAGACACUGGGAGUUUAUCCUGAGAGCCUGGCCACACGCUGACAGGGGGACAGAAUUCCAAUUGCGGGCUGCGGCUGCUGUUGCCGAGGGAGAGGACGCUGCGCUCCGCCUCCGAGAGAAGCAAGGAUGCGGGGGUUUCUGUGGGCUCCUUGCUUCCAGCCUCCGGAGAAAGAGGAAGACCGUUGGGCUCAAAACGAGCCCUUCUCCCUGGCCUGCCUCUGGCAAGGCUGUUAGAAGGAGGAGAGGCUUGUGCAGGGGAGCAGGACCGAUAGGGGUUGGGGACAUGGAGAAAGUUUUUAGCCUUUUUUAAAAAAUCUGCUGGGGGUCUUCUACUCCACGUAAUGAGCUACUCCCAGAGGAAGGAGAACUUAACCCCCUAUCCCCAUGGAUGGCAGGAAAGUGGAUACUUAACUGCAUGUGGCCAGUGAGAUGCUGGCAAGGGGUUUUGCACCAAUGUGGGCUCCAGGGUCACAUCCAUGAGGGGUCUCUAUGGGAGAGAUGAUGAAAACGAAGGGAGCAAUUUUAAAACCACGGGUCUCCCUCUGCAGGCUAGAGGGGGACACUUCAGAGUAGAGAGAAGCCCUUCUAGAGAUAGAAAAAUCAGUGUGCCCAUAGGAACCCGAGAGAGAGAGAGAGAGAGAGAGAGAGAGAGAGAGAGAGAGAGAGAGAGAGAGCGCAACAAGUAUCCCACCCCCACCCCCAUAUGUCUGCCAGGACUUUUUGUGUUUAACAAAGGAAGACAGCUGGGUGCCCUGUAGGACUGGUUUAAUUCCAUUCCUUUCAAGGUGUGUGUGUGUGUGUGUGUGUGUGUGUGUGUGUGUGUGUGUGUGUUCUGUCCCAGGAUUUGCCAGAUGGAAUCACAGCUGGAGCUGUAGGUAGGAGAGAGAAUGGGCUCUCUCUGUGUCUUCCACCUCCCUCUUCCUGAAAAUCCCUUGUAAGUCAGGUCCCUGCUGGCUGAUAGGUGUGGCUUGCUUGCCUGCCCCUUGCCAAGGAUCAAGUGGCUGGCAUCAGGGAUAAAUUCUCAUCAUAGUGAAAGGAAUUAAAAGUUAGAGUAGCCAACUUGAGCCACUUGGCCAAGCUGGGACAGAGCCACAUGGAGGCAAGUGUCUUGGAGAGCGAAGCUGGCAUCUUCAGGGGAUGCCAGGCUUAAAAAGGUGGAGAAAAGGGUGGCUUGGAUCAUCCUCUUCUAGGUUGAUGGCCAUUCUGCAAUGAUGUUAUGACCCAUCCAGCCUCCUGCUAAGCCAGAUCCACUGAGACAGUUCCCAGAAAGCAGUCCGAGGUGACAUGCGUGUGGAGCAUGACCUCAGUAGUUUAUCAGUCAGGAAUGUUAAGACAUGACAGAAGGCAAAUGACCAAGACUGGAUGGGAGGAGCUUUGUGCCUUUGCUAACCCAGAGUCCUGGUCUCAACAGGGCAUAGGCUUGUAAACCAGGAGGACCAAAACCAAGUCGCCUCGAGAAGUGAAUACUCUUGGUUUUAUUGCCAUCCAACAGAUGAGAAAACUCAGGCCUGCCACAAUGAACUGCUGUGUCCUAAUCACAGGACCAGUGAAGUGAGAGCUGAGACGUCAUCCUGGGUAUGUCCACCUCUGAAGCAGGGUUUUAAAAGCAGGCCCAAAUUUCCCCAUCCCAAAUUUAGGAAAGUGUUUCUACCCCCCUGCCCCUGCGCUAUGUCUCCAUAUGUCACACAGAGACCACUUCCUCACAUGUAUAGAUGCCCUGCCUUCUUUCUCUUGGUCAGACGACAACCCUUGUUGCUCUUACAAUCUAGGCUUCUCAUACGGAAGACUCCCUGAUUCUUUUCACCAACCUUUGGCUCAUCAGUCUAAUUAAUAAGCAUUAAACUCCCCUUUAACUCUGCUACAGAUACUACGUUGGCUUGGGGGAAACAAGGAGAAUAAAAUUCACAUCCCACCAUUGAUCAACCUCAUAGCUCAGGGAAGCGAAGGCUGUGCAGAUGCACAGCUCUGUGCAACAGCUCUGAUCUCAUCAAAUCUCAUCUGUGUCCAGCUGGAUACAAUGGCUAUAAUUCCUGCCACAUUCUGCCCCCUCCCCACCAACCAUUACCUGUGCUAGGCUCUGUCACCUCCCCUCUUCUUCUCCUGGAGUCAGUUUCUCUCUGUUCAGACACAUUUUUUCAUGUGUGCAGACCCUACAGUAGAUCUCAUCACCCCACCCCAAUAUGUGCCCAUUCAUGCCUCUUUCACCCCAUAUCAGAUUGGCAGUCACAAGCACGACGGGGCACAUGGUGUAUACUCAUGCAGACCUGGGAGUUUGUGUCCCCCAUCUGUUCUGCCUCCUUCUGCUCUGUGACCUUGGAGGAAGUGCCUAAUGGGCUCUGAACUUUCAUAUCCCCUCUUCCACAGUAGUGGAGUUUUGGAAUGGCAAAGGAAUGAGAUAAAGCUAUGAUGCGUUUAUACAAGCUAGACACUUAGCAGUCAGCCACUCUCAGUCAAUGCUGGGAGAAGGUGCUUUGUCGAUGUUUGCUAUUCUCUUUCAGGUGACUGGGGAACCAUUUAAAGCUCACCAGGGUCUUAUUUGCCUCAGGUACUGCAUACCUGGAAGCCAAAGUCAAACAUAAUGCUGCCUUCUCUUCUGCUUCCUUUGCAUGGCCCAAAGAUGAUCUCAGGGUCUCCUUAACUCUUGCAAACAGGGUAGGCACUAUAGGAUGGGUGGAAGACCAGAGGAUAAAGGUACUUAUUGUGGCUUUCAUUGCAAGUCAUUGGACUCUGUGCUGGGCUUUCUUGUGGAUUUGUCAUAUGUCAAGAGCACCACUGAACCCAUUUCACAGAAGAAACUGAGAAGGGCUACUUGUCCUGUGGUCUAAUCGCUGAAAGCUGAAACAGGGAAGUCUGAGCUAGAGGAGACAGCCCACAGACCUGCACCAGAUGCCAAUGUAUGCCACUGAAGCACUAGCACAGAACUGGAGGACCAGAGAUGGACAGUGGUUUUACAGAGAUGCCACCAUACCAUUCUCUGUACAGUGCUAGUUACUCCAAAAGAUGGCUAAUAAAAGUGUUCCUGCACGGCUCUUGUUAAGGGCCCUCUUUGGCUGGUAAGAAUCUCUUGUAAUUAACACUGUGGUUUGUGCACAAACGUUAGAUAUUGUCUUAUUCUUUAAAAUGCUUUUGUAGAGCUCAGUUGUUAAACAUUUGCAGCAUCAAUCAAAUCCCCAUUACCUUUUCUUAGCUCUGGGGCAUGUGCAGGGUCUUUCUAGGCAGACAGGCAUCAGGUUUAGAGUAGGUCUACUUGGCCCAGUUUUUUAGGUGCUGCCCUAAUUGUGUAUAAUUAUGGUCUUUUUUGUGCACUUCGCAGCUAAACAUUAAAAAAAGCUUUUCAGAUAAAUUCAUGUGAAAAUUGGGCAAUUUAACCCCCUGUUAGCCCAUAAUCCUAGAGUUUUGCUCUGGAAAAUCUGUUUAUUUGCUUAAGAACAAAUGAAUGGAUGUUUUUAAUGAAUCUCUCUCUGUUGCUGCUCUGAGGUACCAGGAGGGGGCGCUCUCUUCCCCAGGGCCUGCCCUAAAUGUGACUCCCUUGGAGGCUUCUGGGCAGAGUGCAAUUUUCUCUUGCUCCUGAAGACAGUGGCAGGCAGAGUUAGACAGGGUGGGCCCUGUAAUCAGCUCCUAAGCUAAUUUGCUACUUAACGUGUAUUGGAUACUGGCAGUGGCUGCCAUCACCCAUAAUUAGAAAAAAAAAUGUGUUCUUUUCUAACACGCAGAUGGAAUUAUUAGUUCAAACUCCCAUGUCUUUCUUGUGCAACUUUUCCUCCUGGUUCCUCAUGGCAGUAAGAAAGGUUAACCCGAGCAUAGCCCUGCAGCAGACUGGUUUAUAAACAAACUCUUACAGCAACGAGUUUUAUUUCUUCUCUUCUGUGAACUUUUAGCAAAUAAUUCUCUAUGAAGGGCAUACCAGGGAGAGAUGUGAAGCAAAGCCACGCAUUUAAUGAGUCCUUUCUUUUAUGUAUUUAUUUGUUUUAUGCAUAUGGAUGUUUUGCCUGUAUAUAUGUGUACAUGUGCAACAUGUGUGUGCCUGGUGUCUUUGGAAGCAAGAAGAGGGUGUCAGAUCCCCUAGGCCUGGAGUUCCAGACAGCUGUGAACCUCCAUGUGGGUACUGAGAAUCAAAUCUGGGUCCUCUGGAAGAGCAUCCAUUGCUCUGAACGGAUGAGCCAUCUCUGGCUCCAAGAGAGUAGUUUCUUAAAACCAUACUUACUGUUGCUUGCUCUCCAGGUGAAAACUAAAGAAACCUUUUCGAAAGAGUAGACCCAUGGGACUUGGUUGCCAAUUGGCCUGGCACUGGGAUAGGUUUAAUUUGCUGUGUUGCCUUAAGGAAACCAUAGAACAUCUCUGUGUUGUUUUCUUCAUUUGUGCUAACUCAUUCCUCGGACUUCCUGUUGUUGGUGGUGCUGCUGCUGCUACUAUUGCUGCUGCUACAAUUUGACACUGGCCUUGACCAAAUCAUAAAUACCCAGCUAAUGGGAUAAAAAUGAGCUGGAACCUGAAAUUCUUGUCAUUAACCCCAUGUUACUAUCUGCUGGAGUAUGGAUGAGGGUAGGGCCAGGGCACUGGGGGGAUCACCUGUCACUUGUCAGACACAAUCUUCCCCUCCCAAUCGACUUUUCAGUUUCAGGGUCUGUAGAGCUGAGGCCCUGUGGGGCUGGCUGCCUUUGUAGGUGGUGAAGGGCAGCUUAAGACAUCACGCAAGACCAACUGUGUGGGCCUGAUAGAGGCUCUUGCUGUUUACCAGCCCUGCCAAACUGCUCUGUGCCAUUUCCUGCCGCAUUUCCCUCUGCCUAGAAAGACCCUGACAGCCGGUUCCCCUCUGCCCCCUCCCCAGCUGCUUGGCUGGUUGGGGGCUGUGUAUUGAAACAGGUUGUAGGAAUUCAUGAAAUCAAUAGACACGUGAUGAAUUGGCUCCACUCUGCUGUCGAGGCUACGGAAGUGGGGACUCGUCCAUUCUUAUGGACCUGGGGCCUGUCCUGGGGAGGUAAAGGCUCUUCCAACCAUGACUCUAUCCCUUACUGCUCCCAGAGACUCAGCUGCUGUCACUGAACUGGAAAACGCCUGAUGUCAGGCCUUGCACACCGGUUAUUUCCAACUUCCUAAUCUGUGCACGUGAGUGUAGCUGAGAGCUGGGGCUACUGAGGAAUUGAAACCACCGCCUGUCUGCCCCCUCGGAGAGCAAUUUUGCCUUCCCUGCAUGUGUGAAUGGACAUCCAAGGCUUCCCUGCAAGCCCCUUUCCACUUUCCUGCCCCUGCCACCCUAACCACAGGAUGGUGAUAGCAAAAAUAAACUGUGUAAACAGGAGGUGGGUACUCAGUAAGUAGCAGCUACUGUGAAAACAGCUAUGUAGCUCACAACUUCAAACUGUGCCUUGCCCUUCAGGCACUUUUUUAAUAAGCAAAAAUCCGUUUCAAAUGCACCCUUGCCUUGUAGUAUGGAAUUAGUACUUUUAACUCUGAUUUUGUUUACUUUAACAAGACACAUCUCCCUGUAACUGGACUCUCCUGGGUGGGCUGCCUUCCUCUCCACUACUCUCAAAGGAGGCUUUGGGACCAUGUCUGACCACAGCUACUUUGAUCCCGAAAGCCUUUAAUCUAGAGCACCUGCUUAAAGGUAUCCUCGCUCAUAUAAAUAAAGCAAGCUCCAGCAGUAGGGAGGUACCCACAUCAGGAGGCCCUGGUUUCUGAUGUGAUUUCAGGCUCCUUCACGGGGGAAGUAAGUCUAUGCCACCCUUUGCUGUCCCCUCUCUGGCUUGUGUCUCAAAGCUUCCUUUCUUCAUACUCAUUGUACAGACCUUUUCCUAGUCUGUCUCUGCCUUUCUGUCCCCUGGGAAGAAAGUAGAAGAAAGAAACCAUGACUAUUUGUUUUCUCUCGGUCAGUUGAUCCCUAGAGCCAAUUGUCUCACGCACAAGGGGGAGUGGGGGGGGGAGCACAGACAGGUCUGAAGUCAACCAUCCACAGCAGGUUUUCAACAAAAACUUUAUUAGUACCACCUUGGCCAUAGGUGAGCCAGCAUUGUGUGUAGCGGAGAGGAGGUGUGGAGUCAGCUUCCACUGCUCUGAGUGGAGCUGCCUCUCCCCCUUGUGUUCUGCAUGUGGGGUUGCAGCGGCUACUGAGCAUCCUCUUUGCAGCCAUAACUCUGCAGCACCUCCUGCACCCGUGUGUGUCCCACCCUGCCUGCCAUCUUUAUUCAGCACUCUGUACCCUGAAAAGCCCACAGGCAUGCCCAAAUCAGAAAGCACGGAGCCCCUGCACUUACUUGCAUCCUGUAUCUUCUGUGUAAGUAGUUGUGUUAUUCGUGUCAAGUUGAUUCAUGUAUUCUCUAGUUCUUUCAAACUGCCGAGUGAAAACAGCAUAACGAAAUGGGGAUUUAAGAAAGCAGAGGUCAGGACUGCGAGGGAAAAAGGAGAAAUACAUCUCUGUUCAGCUUUAUUUUUUUUUUCUGUAAGUCAACAUGACUCCCGUUUUAAAUUCAUAAUGUGGUAAUGUAAAGAUGCUACAUGGGGAAGUAGCCCUAUGGACCAUCUAGAGAGCAAUAGGGCUCCAAGAAAUAAAGACAAAGCAAAGCGAAACAAGAGCCAAAAACAUGAUCUCAAUUUUCAUGAGGAUCUUUCACCUGUUGGAUGAGGUACUGGCUAACAUCUCUUUUCUGUUCACACUUGAUGACAUACUCAAACAGACAUUAUCGCAUCUGACUUCCAUAGCAGAAGGAACUGUAGGCUCAGAGAGCUGAAGGGCCCUAAGCUCCAAUUAACUCACUCCAUUCCAGAUUCCAGGUUGUUUGCACUCUGCUACUGUUGUUUCCUACUGCCCUCUCCCAACCCAAAUUGGCUCCACAGAGCUUUGAUUGAGAAUGCUUGUGGACACAGCUCUAGGGGGAAGCCCAUAAGAGAUCAACAGGAAGCACUGGGGAGGGAGGGGGGAGAUUGGAGAUGGGAGAUGAAGGUCUUAACCAGUUUGAUGAUCAGGCCUAAGAUGACAAUGUUCUUUCUAUGACAUCCCUGGGUCUGUCACAAUAAUAGGAGUCCCAGUUAAAGAUCAGAAGAAACCACCCCACCCUUUCUUUGUGCGGAUAGAUGCACAUGGGUGUGUCCUUGCUUUCCUGUCUGAUGAAGUGAUUGAGUUAUUAAGGAUCUACAGCUUAUUAAUUUGGGUCUGACUCCUUUGCUAGAGCAGUGUGGAAAGAGACCAGUGAGUGAAGGCAUCCUCUCAUUAUUCAAUACACUGUGGACACAGGGCUGUGCUUUUCGGAAGCCAUGACAUUGGGAUGUGCUAUUUCAUUCUCUGCAGGUCAAAUCCCAUGGAAGGACAGAAACCUCUGUGCAUCGGGAGAUGUGUAUCCUGGAGUCAUGCACACACCUGCCCCCUUUUUUCCUUUUACCAGCAAGCAGACCAGGCUUAAAGGGGCAAGGAUUUCAGCACCAGUUUGGGGACUGCUGAGACAUUUAGUCUGGUGGACUGAAAAAACUACCUAGUCAUUGGCCUUUCCAUUGUGAGACCAUUGUUGAUGGAGUGCCUGAACCAUAGAAUGUCCAAGGACCUCCUCCCAGUCGCUCCAGCUUUUGAGUAUCAAGGCUCUUUGCACCAUCACCACCAGAGGUCGCUGUUGAGAAUGGUCUCUUACCAGGAGCCAAGCUGGAGACUUUGCUCUACAAUCAUUUCCUUCCCCGGCUCAUUUUCUAAUCCAAACAUUUGAGGAUGAGGUAUCUGGGUCCUUAUUUAAGCCAUCAACUGGAAAGCAGUCAUCGUCCCCGACACCUCAGCAAAGCACAGAGAUUUCCGCAGCCAUAAUAAAGGUCAGGAGAGGAAGAGACAGAGUUAUCUAAAUCCACAGCUGUAUCCAGGUUCAUGAAGAAUGGCAGAUUGAGUCUUGAGAAGCCAGUGGAGAACAAGAUGAAGGCAACACGUGUGCUGUUAUUUCUUCUUUCCUCCAUCCCUCUUCCUUUCCUGUUACAACAACAACAGUAAUCACAGCAAGUAAAAACAGCAAGCCUGUGACCCCUCUGAACCGAUGGUAUCCAUCCCUCAACAGACGCUCCUCCCACUCCCAGACAAUCUCUCCAGUUCUUUUUAUGCAUAAAUGAAGGAGCUUAGACCAGGCAGGCUCUAUGGCUGUGAAGCUCAUUGGUAGAAGCUGGCCUGUGUCUGAUUGCCUCCCUCCCCCCUUAGGAAGAAGGAAGAGUAAGAUUUCUCUUCUGGAACCUCUAGGCCUAUUUCUUUUAAUAAAAGAACAGCAAGUAUGUGCUCCGUAGCAUUCGGAGACAGUGGCUGGGGACUUUGAGUAGGGAGGCAUACAGUUGAUAAAGGCAAGAUUCAGGCCCUUAUCAUUCCUACUAUAAGGUCACCUCCCUGCAGCCUUGCUGAGGAGACAAUGCCUGGCCUGAUUUUCACUGAUGUUCAGCUAUACCAUAAACUUUUUUUGUUCACACUGGAGCUGAGAGACCCACUGUUCCUACCAAACACCACUGAGAAGGUAGUGAUUUUUAUUUCUUUACAGUAACCAAGGAAACCCAGCAACCCCCAGCAGAAGGGUCUAGACACUAUUAUUCUAGUUUCAGUCUUAGGGUCUCAGGAAAAAGCAACCCCAAAGGUAAAAUGUAUUUUAUUGCUGAAAAAGAAAAUGGGUAGAAUCCUGCAAACAGCAGAGUUAAGUUAUACCACCAUGCUAUAACAUCUAGAUGAAGAUGAGGCAUCCUUACAUCCCCUAGUUCUUUAGUAAGAUGAAGAUUCCAGGAGGAAUGGACCUUGUCCAGAAGCUAACUCUACCUAGCAAUGCUCCGAAUGCUGUGACACCAUCUGGGGUCAUCCAACUGGCCAUUGAGCAACAGACAGGCAGGGUAAGUAAUAGGACAGAACUAAUUAAUAUGAGACUGGAGAGUCAUGAGACUCAGAGAGCAACGAAGAAUCUGCAUUUCUUGUCAACCAAUGUUUGCUCAAACUUGGAAGCAACCAAAGGCAUUAUUCAGUAAACAACUGGAUAAAUAAACUGUGGUACAUCCACAGAUGGAAUAUUAGGCGGUUUUAGCAAGUGAUCCUCUACUGAGCCAGGGAAACAUUGACAGGAAGUCGCACAUACAUCCUUGAGUGGAAGAAGACAAUACAAAGGAGCCAAAACCCAGAAACUGCAUCAUCUCAACUCUCUGAAAUUUUGGGAAAAGGAAAACUAUGUAGACAGCAAGAAGAUGAGUAAUUGCCAGGGAUUGGAUGAAAACGUGAGUUUUAGGUCCUGAAGGCAGCAUUUACGAAUAGAAAAGCCAGUGAUGAGGCUUGGAAAUCGUGAUACCAAAAUCCUGCCAGCACGUGGCUCUCUGCUGAUACAGAAUUAACAACUGAAAAUACAGAGAUAUGCCUUAAUAGCAGUGUGAAGAAAGACCACCCCAAUAGGACACAGAAAUGACUAAUAAAACUAUAAAGAUGUAUUCUGUCUUAGGAGACAUGGAAAAGAAAAUCCAAACUUUACUCACAUAAGGACGGCAAAGUAGAUAUGACAGAAAAUAAUAAGCGUUGGCAAGAGUGCAUGUACCUGGUGCUGCUGGGGGCAUUGUAAAUCGACACAACUGCUCUGGGAACCUAUUUAGCAGUAUCUACUAGAAGACUACUUUUCCAUACAAUACUGUGUACCAAUCCUACUUCUAGGAACAGACUAGACAAUAUGCUGACAUUUGGUCACUCGUGACUUGCAUGAACAUGUUCUUAUAUGGAACAAAAAUAUUUGUGGCAGCAUUAUUUAUAACAGCUCCAAACUCGGAAGCAAUGUAGACACAGAUCAACAGUAACAUGAGGAAGGAAACCAUAGUACACUCUCAGAGCAGAAUAUUAUAUGGCAAGGGACAGGAACACUGAAAGGUUAUAUUCAACAAUGCACACACUCAAUUUGACAAAACUAGAAGCACCUGAGAAACAUCUUAAUUGAGGAACUAUCUAAAUCACAAUGGCCACUGGGCAUCCCUGUGGGGGGGGACUUAUUUGAUUGCUAAGUGAUGUAGGAAGACUCAGCCUGUUGUGGGUGGCAUUAUUUCAUGGGCUGAGACAUGAACUGUGUAAGGAUGAAGAAAGCUAGCAGCCUGUGAGUAACCUAGCAAGCAGACAUGAAGGGCAUAC
Mus musculus (house mouse) is the source of this 10180-nucleotide long non-coding RNA. RefSeq annotates it as predicted gene 11419. The transcript is spliced from 7 exons. Lineage: Eukaryota; Metazoa; Chordata; Mammalia; Rodentia; Muridae. The record is from RefSeq and is a predicted model, not a curated record.